GAUGAACGCUGGCGGCGUGCCUAAUACAUGCAAGUCGAGCGAACAGACGAGGAGCUUGCUCCUCUGACGUUAGCGGCGGACGGGUGAGUAACACGUGGAUAACCUACCUAUAUGACUGGGAUAACUUCGGGAAACCGGAGCUAAUACCGGAUAAUAUAUUGAACCGCAUGGUUCAAUAGUGAAAGACGGUUUUGCUGUCACUUAUAGAUGGAUCCGCGCCGCAUUAGCUAGUUGGUAAGGUAACGGCUUACCAAGGCAACGAUGCGUGGCCGACCUGAGAGGGUGAUCGGCCACACUGGAACUGAGACACGGUCCAGACUCCUACGGGAGGCAGCAGUAGGGAAUCUUCCGCAAUGGGCGAAAGCCUGACGGAGCAACGCCGCGUGAGUGAUGAAGGUCUUCGGAUCGUAAAACUCUGUUAUUAGGGAAGAACAAAUGUGUAAGUAACCAUGCACGUCUUGACGGUACCUAAUCAGAAAGCCACGGCUAACUACGUG
This 497-nucleotide ribosomal RNA is filed under the name uncultured bacterium. Its description in RNAcentral is "partial 16S ribosomal RNA". It matches the Rfam family "Bacterial small subunit ribosomal RNA", at positions 28 to 507 of the family's 1533-position model. The record is from RNAcentral.